UACGAAGGGUGCAAACGUUGCUCGGAAUUACUGGGCGUAAAGCGUGCGCAGGCGGUUUUGUAAGCCGGAUGUGAAAUCCCCGGGCUUAACCUGGGAAUGGCAUUCGGGACUGCAAGGCUGGAGUGCGGCAGAGGAGACUGGAAUUCCUGGUGUAGCAGUGAAAUGCGUAGAUAUCAGGAGGAACACCGAUGGCGAAGGCAGGUCUCUGGGCUGACACUGACGCUCAUGCACGAAAGCGUGGGGAGCAAACAGG
RNAcentral lists this ribosomal RNA (253 nucleotides) under uncultured bacterium. RNAcentral's name for it is "partial 16S ribosomal RNA". It matches the Rfam family "Bacterial small subunit ribosomal RNA", at positions 524 to 776 of the family's 1533-position model. The record is from RNAcentral.